GACGAACGCUGGCGGCGUGCUUAACACAUGCAAGUCGAACGGAAAGGCCCUGCUUGCAGGGUACUCGAGUGGCGAACGGGUGAGUAACACGUGGGUGAUCUGCCCUGCACUUCGGGAUAAGCCUGGGAAACUGGGUCUAAUACCGGAUAGGAGCCAUUUUUAGUGUGAUGGUUGGAAAGUUUUUUCGGUGUAGGAUGAGCUCGCGGCCUAUCAGCUUGUUGGUGGGGUAAUGGCCUACCAAGGCGGCGACGGGUAGCCGGCCUGAGAGGGUGGACGGCCACAUUGGGACUGAGAUACGGCCCAGACUCCUACGGGAGGCAGCAGUGGGGAAUAUUGCACAAUGGGCGCAAGCUUGAUGCAGCGACGCCGCGUGGGGGAUGACGGCCUUCGGGUUGUAAACUCCUUUCGCUAGGGACGAAGCUUUUUGUGACGGUACCUAGAUAAGAAGCACCGGCUAACUACAUG
This 465-nucleotide ribosomal RNA is filed under the name uncultured bacterium. Its description in RNAcentral is "partial 16S ribosomal RNA". It matches the Rfam family "Bacterial small subunit ribosomal RNA", at positions 28 to 507 of the family's 1533-position model. The record is from RNAcentral.